RNAcentral lists this transfer RNA (77 nucleotides) under Nostoc sp. HK-01. RNAcentral describes it as "tRNA-His". RNAcentral also lists the same sequence under 2 other names. Lineage: Bacteria; Bacillati; Cyanobacteriota; Cyanophyceae; Nostocales; Nostocaceae. The record is from RNAcentral.
GUGUCUGAAGCCAAAGCGGUCGCGGCGCUGGUUUGUGGAACCAGUCAUUAGGGAGUUCAAGCCUCCUCAGACACCCC